CCCUUAGACGUUCUGGGCCGCACGCGCGCUACACUGACCAGUGCAACAAGCAUCCGUCCUUGGCCGACAGGCCCGGGCAAUCUUUGAACGCUGGUCGUGAUGGGGAUAGACUUUUGCAAUUUUUGGUCUUCAACGAGGAAUUCCUAGUAAACGCAAGUCAUCAGCUUGCAUUGAUUACGUCCCUGCCCUUUGUACACACCGCCCGUCGCACCUACCGAUUGAAUGGUCCGGUGAAAUCUCGGGACGGCGGCUCGGUCGCUUGCGUCCGACUGCUGAAACUUGAUUAAACCAUAUCAUUUAGAGGAAGGUGAAGUCGUAACA
This 321-nucleotide ribosomal RNA is filed under the name uncultured eukaryote. RNAcentral's name for it is "partial 18S ribosomal RNA". It matches the Rfam family "Eukaryotic small subunit ribosomal RNA", at positions 1470 to 1796 of the family's 1831-position model. The record is from RNAcentral.